Molecule: ribosomal RNA, 200 nt
Filed under: uncultured bacterium
Lineage: Bacteria
Description: partial 16S ribosomal RNA
Rfam family: Bacterial small subunit ribosomal RNA
Source: RNAcentral
UACGGAGGGUCCAAGCGUUAUCCGGAAUCAUUGGGUUUAAAGGGUCCGUAGGCGGUCUUAUAAGUCAGUGGUGAAAUCUCCUAGCUCAACUAGGAAACUGCCAUUGAUACUGUAAGACUUGAAUUUUUGUGAAGUAACUAGAAUAUGUAGUGUAGCGGUGAAAUGCUUAGAUAUUACAUGGAAUACCAAUUGCGAAGGCA